Non-coding RNA from Elaeis guineensis (African oil palm), 2540 nucleotides. NCBI's taxonomy places the organism in Eukaryota, Viridiplantae, Streptophyta, Magnoliopsida, Arecales, Arecaceae. The record is from RefSeq and is a predicted model, not a curated record.
UCCCCUCUUUGGCGUACCGCCCGCUCGUUGCUCUCUUUUAUCCGCUCCCCAGAGAAAGAGAGAGAGAGAGAGCGCGAGCGAGCGACCAAACCCUAAUUUCUCUCCCCUUCCCUUCAUGUUUCUUCUCUGGCCAUUGGAGAGCGAGGAGGAAUUCGCGCCACUCCCGUCGAUCCUGAGCUGCUCGCUAUGGCGGAGCCCCUCCGGCGAAGGUUCGUGAUAGGGUACGCCCUCGCGCCCAAGAAGCAGCAGAGCUUCAUACAGCCGUCGCUCGUUGGCCUCGCCGCCGAUCGCGGCAUCGAUCUCGUCCCCAUCGACCCCUGCCGUGCCCUCGCCGACCAGGGGCCCUUUGACUGCAUCAUCCAUAAGCUCUAUGGCGACGACUGGAAGGCCCAGCUCCAGGACUUCGCUGCCCGGUACCCCGACGUCCCUGUCAUUGAUUCUCCCCAUGCCAUCGAGCGCCUCCACAACCGCAUUUCCAUGCUCCAGGUCGUCUCCGAGCUUGAGAUCCCGCAGCACCAGGAGACCUUCGGGAUCCCCAGCCAGGUCGUGAUCUACGAUUCCGGCGCCCUGUCCAACUCCGGCGUUGUCGGCGCCCUCCACUUCCCAGUCAUUGCCAAGCCCCUCGUUGCUGAUGGCAGCGCCAAGUCGCACAAGAUGUCCCUCGUCUACCACCGCGACGGCCUUCUUAUACUCAAGCCGCCACUAGUCCUCCAGGAAUUCGUCAACCAUGGUGGGGUCAUCUUCAAGGUGUACGUUGUCGGGGACUACGUUAAGUGCGUCAAAAGGAAGUCCCUCCCGGAUGUCUCCGAGGAGAAGCUGGAGUGCACUGAGGGGUCGAUGUCCUUCUCCCAGGUGUCCAACAUGACAUCGCAGGACCGGACUGAGGAGCAGUACUAUGAGUCGAUGCACUUGGAGGAGGCUGAGAUGCCACCGCUGAGCUUCGUCACAGAGAUCGCCCGGGGGCUGAGGCGGGUUAUGGGGCUACACCUUUUCAAUUUUGAUGUGAUCAGAGAUGUGAAGGUCGGAAACCGGUAUCUCAUCAUUGACAUUAACUAUUUUCCUGGGUAUGCUAAAAUGCCGUCCUAUGAAACAGUUUUGACAGAGUUCUUUUGGAAUAUCAUUAAUAAAAAGAAGGAAGAUGAUGGAUCCAAUGCAGCUCCGAACAAGGAAGAGGAUGGAGCAAAUGCAGUUCCAAAGGAUGUUGAUAACGAAAUAGAGAAUUUGGCUGGGGAUUUCUACAAUACUGUGGGAGAAGUGGAGAAUGCAGGCUGAGAUCUGAAAAUUUGCAGUAAUGUUGUUUUUGUCGAGCACUCAAAAGGCACUCUUUGCACUAUUCUGCCAUUUUCAGAUGAUCAGAGCUCAAGUCAUCGUAUCUGGCUGAAUAAGUAGGUUGGGAAGUUUGAGGUUUCUAACUUCCAGAUGGGUUCAUUUGGUAUCUCAUGCAGACAAUGUACGUCCUUCCUUUUGGAGCAAUAAUUAGGUUUGCCAUUACUUUAAUUCCUUUUCCUGAAAUGCAUAUGAGGUGGAUGAAUUGAACAACAACUGCUUUGUCGUAUGCUCUACGUGACCAUUUUGAAGAACUCUUUUUUUGGCAAGUGUGACACUGAAUGCUGGAUCACUUGUUCAGAUUAAGAUUUCCAUAUGACGUGUUUAAGAAACACAUGCGGAAAGCAAGCAACUGAUCCCUAUCAUGUUUGACUAUAUGCAUCUUCCCUUUUUAUAUUAGCUUUCAUGGAAAGUCAAGUUUGUCAAAUUGACAGAUCUUGUUAAGUCUUUUAUGACUGCUGCCAUCCUAACUGUUGGUAUGCACUGGUAUGACUGCUAUGGCUGGUGCACAUUGUUACACAUGAUUUGGGUAUCCUGGUACCUGUACUAAUGCCGGUUUCACAUUGGUUUCCAUACCGGCAGUUUUGAAUUCUUGUUUGUAAUGCAAUUUUGAGGAGUCACCCAUCAAUACAUCAAUGAAUGAUUUGAAGUCCUAUAGAAGAAGAUGCAAGAACCACAUAUUUGAUUAGUAUGACAUGCAAGGAAAUUGGAUGGCUACCUUGACAAGUUGGUCUUGGCAAUAGAAUCAUUCAAAAGGAGGUCAUCUAGCUCCAGUGAUGAGUAGACAUAUGCAUUCAUUGUAGCUCAUAACCCUCAAUUAAUUAUUUUCUCUAUUAAUUCUCAAAGGAGUUAUGUGCAGAGGGUGUAUCCUAGGGUUUUCUAUCAGUCAAAUUAUAUAGUUGUAAGGGUGAUCAUUCAGCAAUAUUAGUGCAUUGUGAGAUAGAUAUAUGGAUUUAUUGUAGCUUAUAAUAAAUGGAAUUAUAAUAUCAGAAUCAGAGGAUUUCAUGAUUCUGAAUUUGAGAGUUUAGGGCAACAAAUUUAUUGUUCUUGAUCUAGUAUCUCUUGUAGCUCACCAUCAUGGCCCUUAAAAAUUUGAAUUUGCGGGUAUGAAUCAUAAUAUAUGUGCGAACCAAAUAAUUUGGAGGUUGAUGUGAGGGCCAGUGAAUCUAAAUGUUUCACUUUUGUGAGUGGAUGAAAUGCAGGAAUUCCUGCUA